Molecule: ribosomal RNA, 1489 nt
Filed under: Lactiplantibacillus argentoratensis
Lineage: Bacteria; Bacillati; Bacillota; Bacilli; Lactobacillales; Lactobacillaceae
Description: bacterial SSU rRNA
Rfam family: Bacterial small subunit ribosomal RNA
Source: RNAcentral
GACGAACGCUGGCGGCGUGCCUAAUACAUGCAAGUCGAACGAACUCUGGUAUUGAUUGGUGCUUGCAUCAUGAUUUACAUUUGAGUGAGUGGCGAACUGGUGAGUAACACGUGGGAAACCUGCCCAGAAGCGGGGGAUAACACCUGGAAACAGAUGCUAAUACCGCAUAACAACUUGGACCGCAUGGUCCGAGCUUGAAAGAUGGCUUCGGCUAUCACUUUUGGAUGGUCCCGCGGCGUAUUAGCUAGAUGGUGGGGUAACGGCUCACCAUGGCAAUGAUACGUAGCCGACCUGAGAGGGUAAUCGGCCACAUUGGGACUGAGACACGGCCCAAACUCCUACGGGAGGCAGCAGUAGGGAAUCUUCCACAAUGGACGAAAGUCUGAUGGAGCAACGCCGCGUGAGUGAAGAAGGGUUUCGGCUCGUAAAACUCUGUUGUUAAAGAAGAACAUAUCUGAGAGUAACUGUUCAGGUAUUGACGGUAUUUAACCAGAAAGCCACGGCUAACUACGUGCCAGCAGCCGCGGUAAUACGUAGGUGGCAAGCGUUGUCCGGAUUUAUUGGGCGUAAAGCGAGCGCAGGCGGUUUUUUAAGUCUGAUGUGAAAGCCUUCGGCUCAACCGAAGAAGUGCAUCGGAAACUGGGAAACUUGAGUGCAGAAGAGGACAGUGGAACUCCAUGUGUAGCGGUGAAAUGCGUAGAUAUAUGGAAGAACACCAGUGGCGAAGGCGGCUGUCUGGUCUGUAACUGACGCUGAGGCUCGAAAGUAUGGGUAGCAAACAGGAUUAGAUACCCUGGUAGUCCAUACCGUAAACGAUGAAUGCUAAGUGUUGGAGGGUUUCCGCCCUUCAGUGCUGCAGCUAACGCAUUAAGCAUUCCGCCUGGGGAGUACGGCCGCAAGGCUGAAACUCAAAGGAAUUGACGGGGGCCCGCACAAGCGGUGGAGCAUGUGGUUUAAUUCGAAGCUACGCGAAGAACCUUACCAGGUCUUGACAUACUAUGCAAAUCUAAGAGAUUAGACGUUCCCUUCGGGGACAUGGAUACAGGUGGUGCAUGGUUGUCGUCAGCUCGUGUCGUGAGAUGUUGGGUUAAGUCCCGCAACGAGCGCAACCCUUAUUAUCAGUUGCCAGCAUUAAGUUGGGCACUCUGGUGAGACUGCCGGUGACAAACCGGAGGAAGGUGGGGAUGACGUCAAAUCAUCAUGCCCCUUAUGACCUGGGCUACACACGUGCUACAAUGGAUGGUACAACGAGUUGCGAACUCGCGAGAGUAAGCUAAUCUCUUAAAGCCAUUCUCAGUUCGGAUUGUAGGCUGCAACUCGCCUACAUGAAGUCGGAAUCGCUAGUAAUCGCGGAUCAGCGUGCCGCGGUGAAUACGUUCCCGGGCCUUGUACACACCGCCCGUCACACCAUGAGAGUUUGUAACACCCAAAGUCGGUGGGGUAACCUUUUAGGAACCAGCCGCCUAAGGUGGGACAGAUGAUUAGGGUG